CAUCCUCCAAGGCUAAAUACUCCUGACUGACCGAUAGUGAACCAGUACCGUGAGGGAAAGGCGAAAAGAACCCCGGCGAGGGGAGUGAAAAAGAACCUGAAACCGUGUACGUACAAGCAGUGGGAGCCCCACCACUAAGCCAGUGGUGAACUCCACAUACGCAUCCUUUGCUGAAGGCAAUGGUUAACGGAGCGAAAGCGACGUUCAACCGCAAAA
RNAcentral lists this ribosomal RNA (216 nucleotides) under Salmonella enterica subsp. enterica serovar Thompson. RNAcentral describes it as "partial 23S ribosomal RNA". It matches the Rfam family "Bacterial large subunit ribosomal RNA", at positions 454 to 658 of the family's 2925-position model. Lineage: Bacteria; Pseudomonadati; Pseudomonadota; Gammaproteobacteria; Enterobacterales; Enterobacteriaceae. The record is from RNAcentral.